Molecule: ribosomal RNA, 497 nt
Filed under: uncultured bacterium
Lineage: Bacteria
Description: partial 16S ribosomal RNA
Rfam family: Bacterial small subunit ribosomal RNA
Source: RNAcentral
GAUGAACGCUGGCGGCGUGCCUAAUACAUGCAAGUCGAGCGAACAGACGAGGAGCUUGCUCCUCUGACGUUAGCGGCGGACGGGUGAGUAACACGUGGAUAACCUACCUAUAAGACUGGGGUAACUUCGGGAAACCGGAGCUAAUACCGGAUAAUAUAUUGAACCGCAUGGUUCAAUAGUGAAAGACGGUUUUGCUGUCACUUAUAGAUGGAUCCGCGCCGCAUUAGCUAGUUGGUAAGGUAACGGCUUACCAAGGCAACGAUGCGUAGCCGACCUGAGAGGAUGAUCGGCCACACUGGAACUGAGACACGGUCCAGACUCCUACGGGAGGCAGCAGUAGGGAAUAUUCCGCAAUGGGCGAAAGCCUGACGGAGCAACGCCGCGUGAGUGAUGAAGGUCUUCGGAUCGUAAAACUCUGUUAUUAGGGAAGAACAAAUGUGUAAGUAACUAUGCACGUCUUGACGGUACCUAAUCAGAAAGCAACGGCUAACUACGUG